Molecule: transfer RNA, 70 nt
Filed under: Triticum aestivum (bread wheat)
Lineage: Eukaryota; Viridiplantae; Streptophyta; Magnoliopsida; Poales; Poaceae
Rfam family: tRNA
About the family: Transfer RNA (tRNA) molecules are approximately 80 nucleotides in length. Their secondary structure includes four short double-helical elements and three loops (D, anti-codon, and T loops).
Source: Rfam by way of RNAcentral
GCGGGGAUAGCGUUGGGAGAGCGUCAGACUGAAGAUCUGAAGGUCGCGUGUUCGAUCCACGCUCACUGCA